UACGUAGGGGGCGAGCGUUGUCCGGAUUUAUUGGGCGUAAAGAGCUCGUAGGCGGUCUGUUGCGUCUGCUGUGAAAACUCGGGGCUUAACCCCGAGCCUGCAGUGGAUACGGGCAGACUAGAGGUAGGUAGGGGAGAAUAGAAUUCCCGGUGUAGCGGUGAAAUGCGCAGAUAUCGGGAGGAACACCGGUGGCGAAGGCGGUUCUCUGGGCCUUACCUGACGCUGAGGAGCGAAAGCGUGGGGAGCGAACAGG
This 253-nucleotide ribosomal RNA is filed under the name uncultured bacterium. RNAcentral describes it as "partial 16S ribosomal RNA". It matches the Rfam family "Bacterial small subunit ribosomal RNA", at positions 524 to 776 of the family's 1533-position model. The record is from RNAcentral.